GACGAACGCUGGCGGCGUGCUUAACACAUGCAAGUCGAGCGGUAAGGCCCUUUCGGGGGUACACGAGCGGCGAACGGGUGAGUAACACGUGGGUGACCUGCCCUCAGCUCUGGGUAAGCCUGGGAAACCGGGUCUAAUACCGGAUAUGACUCCAUGACGCAUGUUGUGGGGUGGAAAGCCUUGUGCGGCUGAGGAUGGGCCCGCGGCCUAUCAGCUUGUUGGUGGGGUGAUGGCCUACCAAGGCGACGACGGGUAGCCGGCCUGAGAGGGCGACCGGCCACACU
This 284-nucleotide ribosomal RNA is filed under the name uncultured bacterium. Its description in RNAcentral is "partial 16S ribosomal RNA". It matches the Rfam family "Bacterial small subunit ribosomal RNA", at positions 28 to 314 of the family's 1533-position model. The record is from RNAcentral.